GUAGGUGGCAAGCGUUAUCCGGAAUCAUUGGGCGUAAAGGGUGCGUAGGUGGCGUACUAAGUCUGUAGUAAAAGGCAAUGGCUCAACCAUUGUAAGCUAUGGAAACUGGUAUGCUGGAGUGCAGAAGAGGGCGAUGGAAUUCCAUGUGUAGCGGUAAAAUGCGUAGAUAUAUGGAGGAACACCAGUGGCGAAGGCGGUCGCCUGGUCUGUAACUGACACUGAGGCACGAAAGCGUGGGGAGCAAAUAGGAUUAGAUACCCUAGUAGUCCACGCCGUAAACGAUGAGAACUAAGUGUUGGAGGAAUUCAGUGCUGCAGUUAACGCAAUAAGUUCUCCGCCUGGGGAGUAUGCACGCAAGUGUGAAACUCAAAGGAAUUG
This 378-nucleotide ribosomal RNA is filed under the name uncultured bacterium. RNAcentral describes it as "bacterial SSU rRNA". It matches the Rfam family "Bacterial small subunit ribosomal RNA", at positions 527 to 912 of the family's 1533-position model. The record is from RNAcentral.